Molecule: transfer RNA, 541 nt
Filed under: uncultured cyanobacterium
Lineage: Bacteria; Bacillati; Cyanobacteriota
Description: partial 16S-23S ribosomal RNA intergenic spacer
Rfam family: tRNA (bases 211-283)
Source: RNAcentral
CAGGGAGACAACAAAAUGUUAAAUAUUAAUUUUGUCACCUUAGGUCGAUCGGUAUCUCACAUUCUUAAUUUAUUAAGGAUUUUAUUUCCUAAGUUUUUUCUAGGUCACACCCAUUACUUUUCCUGGGCCAUUAGCUCAGGUGGUUAGAGCGCACCCCUGAUAAGGGUGAGGUCCCUGGUUCAAGUCCAGGAUGGCCCAUAUCUCUAUGUUGGGGGUAUAGCUCAGUUGGUAGAGCGCCUGCUUUGCAAGCAGGAUGUCAGCGGUUCGAGUCCGCUUACCUCCACUGAUUACCACCUCUUCCAUAAUUUUUGGAAUGGAAAUGUUUUGAGUUGUGAUCAAAUUCUUAACGAAUCUAGCUUCCUAAUUUUCUUAAUUAAGAUGCUGGACUCAUUGAAUUAAUUUCUUUGUUUUCAGAGAACCUUGACAACUGCAUAGAUUAUUUUUAAAGACAAUAAGCAUCUUUAAUGAUGCAGAUUUAUUAUUUAUGCGAAUGCAUUAAUAACAAUUCUAUUAAGCUGAUGCUUCAAUUAUUGAAGUUAUU